This 75-nucleotide transfer RNA is filed under the name Hymenobacter wooponensis. RNAcentral describes it as "tRNA-Arg". It matches the Rfam family "tRNA". From Rfam's summary of the family: Transfer RNA (tRNA) molecules are approximately 80 nucleotides in length. Their secondary structure includes four short double-helical elements and three loops (D, anti-codon, and T loops). Further hydrogen bonds mediate the characteristic L-shaped molecular structure. tRNAs have two regions of fundamental functional importance: the anti-codon, which is responsible for specific mRNA codon recognition, and the 3' end, to which the tRNAs corresponding amino acid is attached (by aminoacyl-tRNA synthetases). tRNAs cope with the degeneracy of the genetic code in two manners: having more than one tRNA (with a specific anti-codon) for a particular amino acid; and 'wobble' base-pairing, i.e. permitting non-standard base-pairing at the 3rd anti-codon position. The record is from RNAcentral. Lineage: Bacteria; Pseudomonadati; Bacteroidota; Cytophagia; Cytophagales; Hymenobacteraceae.
GGUCGCGUAGUACAACGGAUAGUAUGGGAGUCUCCGAAGCUCUUGAUCUAGGUUCGAUUCCUAGCGCGACCACUA